Molecule: long non-coding RNA, 10575 nt
Organism: Gallus gallus (chicken)
Lineage: Eukaryota; Metazoa; Chordata; Aves; Galliformes; Phasianidae
Exons: 2
Source: RefSeq, a predicted model, not a curated record
GUGAAUAAGAAGAGCAAACUUCAAAUUAUGAACCGGGUCCUGUGCUCUGUGAUGCUGUUUUUAACUCAAGUACAGAUACCCAAACAGCAUGAAGCAGUAACCUGGAUUCACUCCACCACGCUUCAGCCACAUGACUGGGUCAAAUAAGGAUCUGCUCAUCUAUUCAAAGAUUAACAGCAGAAAACGUCCUUGUUUAAGAUCAGCAAUGCAAGACCUUCAUCGCCAGUGACCUUCCAACUCAACAAAGACUGGAUUGUUUUUCCAGACACUGUGAGCUGAAGGCAUCCUUUCACUCUAAGACACAUAACGGAUGAGAAUACAAGCAUUAAUAUAAAUUCCUCACUAAAGAGAGAAGCUGACCUCGUGACUCUCUCACUAGGUCGUCUAAACUGAAUCCUGACUGCCAAAACAGUACCUGUGCACAUCUCCACCAACAUGAAGAAACCGUAAGCCUCUGCCCAGAGGCAGUACACAUUGUCUGCGCAUGGGAAAAUCUCCAGGUAGUGUUGAGAAGCGAGAUGAUUUCUUAGAGCUGUUAAUGCCCAAGGUACAAUCCCCAUAGAGAAAACAUGAUUGCAAAAGAGCCCCUGGAGAGAUCUAACCAGCGUAAGCAUGCUGCUGGGAGACAUUAUGAGCUGGGCCAAGACAGAGCAGCACCACAGCUGCUUUACACUCACCAAGUGAACUCCAGCACUCUGGGAGUCACGAGAGCUGUGGUGGGCCUCCCCCACGCACGGCGAACUCCUCCAUCAAGCACAACUCAGCCUGAGCUGACAUCUGGGCCUUAUGUUUUCAUCUCCUAGGCAGAUAGCUUCCACAACUUUAGAGAUACAACACUCAGGCACUGGAGGUAUACGGUACAGGAGAGAUGCUUCAAUAACACGUGAAGCUGCUGCAAGGAAAAAACAUUGUGUAAAAAGCCAGCAGCCAUCAGAAAUGCUGGAAGAGGGUUGCUUGCUGCGGUUUACAUUCAGCCCAGUAGUAGAGGUCAGGCCAGCUACAGUGCUGAGUAUAAAGGCUGAGGGUGACCAGAGAUCUUUCUAAACGUUUUUCAACAGACAGUAUGUUUCAGCUAAAUACUUUUCUGGAUAAAUCUCUGCUCAUUUGGAAAAAAUAAAAUAAAUUCUUAGGAAAUUCCAAAUCUAAAUGAAGUUGGAUAAAGUGAAUAACUUUACAGUUCCCAGAAAUUCAGUUGCUGAGAAUGAAAAAAACAACAGCAACAAAGUGAUUUUUAUUAAUUUUAUGUAUAAUUAGAAUUCAGAAGAGAUUCUCACCAUGUCUAAGCUGGCGUUCACUUAUCCAGCAACCUUCUGGUUCUGCUCUCCCCACUACAGCCCCUCUUCUCCUUCCACAACCAAGACUGUCAUACAAACUUGUGAAAAGUAGAUGCCAGUGAGACUAAAUAGGGGUUUUCUUCCGAAAAGCCAUAUGUGACAAGAAGUAAUACCGAAAAAAAGCAAUAAAAAUGAGAAAAGAUGGAAAAGCACUUGCUAUGGCCCAGAUUUCCGACAUGCCUUUGCAUCUAUUUGCAGAUCGAAGCACUGCAGCUCCCCAGGUUCCUGUGCAUACAUGCAACUUCCAUUUCUGUAAUUACCAUUUUGAGGAUCUGUGAAGGCACACUGGCACAGCUUCAUCCUCAGAAGUGUAAGCACAAGAAUUUUCUAUUUUUUUUUUUCCCACGGAUUCAAACAGCGAAACUUACAUGAAAGAGAAAAAGGCUUCAAAAUUUGCAGCAGUUUAAAAUAUGCUGAAAGUUUAAAAGUGCCAAUGGUGCUAAAUACUGUUCAGAUGACAAAACAUAAGCAGAGCAACUUACAUGGUUUAGAAAUCUAUACUGUGAGUUUGAGAGAGUGACACAAUCAAAUGCAGCGUGACCUUUUUACCUAUGUCUCAUGUGGAUGAAUGAGCAGAUAGCUUAUAGAAGAUCACACAAAUCUCAUGAUCUUCCAAGUGGUCAGGCUCUCUUUCAGCAUCGUCUACAGCGUCACAUCCUGAGUGAGGUCAGGUCCACAGGGCCAUGCCCUUCCUUGUUCUUUCUUCUGUAAAGCACCUUCUAUCUGCUACCAAACUGCGAGAGGAAAAAGUGAUUGCUUUCUCAGUGGCAAACAGACUGCUCCUGUUGCAAGCAGUAUGAGUUAGAUCCAUGAUAUCAGUGAGUCCCCCCUGGACAGAGAUAUUGAGGGAUAAAGCUCUAAAACAGGAUCAGAGCGGUUAUAUUUGGGGUUACCUUCCCGACAGAGCUCAUGGCAUAAGGUGCAAGAUUAAGGUGUAGACCAGAAUAUACCAACGACAACUUUUGCAUAAGAUUUAUCACCCUCACUUUCCGAAAUCUGCAUUUUUUUUCUGUUGUGGCUUUCUCUAUCAAACAGUAGAACAAAAACACCACCACCCUUUUCUGCUGCUUAGAGUAUAACUACGCCUUUGAGUAUGCUUUCAUUUAAUUCUUAUAGACAGCGCUUUGCAAAGAAUUACCUAGCUUAGCAUUGGGAAGGUGCCAUGUCAGAGUUGCAAAGCAUUUCCACAUGUAGUCAGCAAUGACAGUGGGAUGAAACUCAGCAGCUCCCAACUCACAGCAGCCCCACAUCAAAUGGAAAUAACCAGCAAAGAUGAAAGAGUAGUUAGGAACUCGAGGUUCCAUUUAAGGGAUGUGGAAGAAGAGCUAUAACAUGGCCUACAAAGCUUCAUACAGCCACUCAGACCAUAACUGAAAAAGGUAAAUGACAAGCAAAGACUGACAUUGUCUUUGGGGCACUAAACUCGAUUUCCUUUACUUUAUCAUGUGAGAAUCAAGAGGCCAUCCUGUGACUUAGGAGCCAUGACACACCAGCCAUCACUGCAAAGCAAAAAGAAAAAAAAGAAAAUCAAAGCAACAGAAGCCUGAUUGGAUGUGUGUGUUUCAAAGUAAUUGCUCACAUGUCGGAGGGGACACAUGCUCAGGACAGACUUGGAAUGUGGAAUAGCAGAAGUAUUGCAAAUUGCUGAUGUAACACCGAGAGUACACAUUUCUUAGUUCUGCUAUUACUGAAUAUAUUUUGGUAUCUCUUUGGUAUGAUAAAUUUCAAAGGGGAGACAGCAAAUCCCUGCCAUAAAAGUCAGAUCACCCAGAGCUCACAGACCAGGAGGCAGAGUCAGCAAGUAAUAACUACAGGAAGUUUGUGCACUAACUUGUGCACUUGGUGACAGUGAUGUCAAAGCAGAGAGAUUCUAGCAGCUGAUUUCCACAAGCAUGAGGGGAGAAGUCCCCUCAGAGAGCUGUAUUGCAAACUCUGCUCUUGUACUCCUCUCCCUUCUCUCUUUUUCCAGUGGAGGGAAACAAGUGAGAAAGUUAAAAAAAAAAAACAAAACAAAAAAAACAGGCAGAUAAAACUGGGUCCAGAGUGGAGGCUGAUGAUGAGAAACUGCCAACAGUAAAGAGUUUUAAGGCAUCUAUUAAAACAAGGAGAGAAGGAGGCUAACGCAGAAAAGUAAAAUCAAGUUUGAGGUGUGAAAGUUUGCAUGUCUGUACAUUUAUAUAGAUGAUAUUAGCAGGAUCUAAAAAGAAGAGGAAGCUGAAAAUUUCUGCACACAUUCCAAAGGAUCGCACAUUCCCGAGCUCUGUAGCGUACAAGAGGUUUUGACACUUUUAGCAUCUCCAGCAGCAAAGAAGUUUGCUGUAAGUACUGCAAACUGCUGAAGACCCAGUCAGACAAAUGAGCAAAUGACAGCUGGCUUUCUUAUUAAACAUUAUGUAAAACUUUAACACAUAGGCCUGCCAUAUUAAAUCCUCCUUCAGGAUGCGUGGUUACGUGUGUAAGCCUAAAGCAGCUUUUGCUGGAAGUAAAUGAAGCUAGCAAAUCUAUCCUACAAAUACAUCAGAAAGCCAAAAUACUAAUGAGGCUCCAGCAGAUGCUGCAAUCAGCAACAGCAAUCAUCAGACUGCUUGGCCUUUCUUCCACUCGGGAUGAUUUUCGGACAUAACAAAUUUGGAAAAAGGUGUAAGGAAAAUCUGAAGGGACUUGUCUGCAGCAGUGUAAGUUUUCAGAAGGAAGGGUCCUGGUACACUGGCAAUACAGGGACGGGACUGUUCUUCAUAUGGUUCCCAUCACUCAGGUUUAGAGCAGACAGAAAGGGAAGAGGGAAAGCAAUAGCAAUGCCAGGCACUCAGGAGGUGAACACAGUACUGGGAAACUCCCAUCACUGGAGGAGAAGAAAGCAGGAGGAGUACCCCAGCUCCUUCUUCAGAGUCAGAGGGAAGUAUGGAGAGAAAUACGGAGAGAUCGAAGCUAGGCUAAAAAGGAGAUGAAAAAAAAAUAGAGAUGAAGUUUCUCCAUAUUCAUAAGCAAAGCGGGGAUGGCACAGAUCCCCCCUGGGGAACAGCCAUGAAGGAGCAGGCCAAACUCUCCCCAGCAACCUACCGGAAGCCUGCAUGGCCUCUGGUUGUUCCUUCAAGCAGCAGGAAGGUCUUACGUCUCCUCCUCCUUUUGCUACAGCAGUGUUUAUCUGAACUCAUGAACACGGGUGGCUGAGAAAGAACAGAGCCUCACUCUCCUCAUUUGAAAUUUCUAACUAAAGCCAUAACAGUAUAAAUAUCAACCGGUGUUUUUCAUCUCCAAAUCACAAAACAUUUUAUGGAAGGAAGGUAACCACCUAUUCACAGCUUGUGCACAAAUUAGUAACUGGCUUUUCUAAGGUCAACAAAGCAAGCGAGGAGACAGGAGGAGAGCCCAGCUUCAGGACCACCUUCCUGCUCAGCCAGGGGGGAGGUGAGAACUAAGAACAGACACACAUUCACCACCUCCACAGCAGGUUUUCAUGCCCUUCUGCAUACAGGAAGCAAUCAGAUGUGGCAACAGCAGAGCCAAAUUAAGCAUAAAUUAAGUUUUGAUAUCAAGGAUACACCUUUUGUAGAGAAUUCCUAUUACCAUUUCGCUGAGCAAAUAUUUGAAUGGAGUGAAAUCAAUUGGCAAUCGUCAUGUGUUAUUUGCAAGUGAACACACCAGAUCUUUCUCUGCACCAAGAAAACAAAUAAUCAGACCCCCAAAUUCAUGCACUUUCCCUUUAGAAAGAGCCACAUUGUGUUGUUACAUCAGCAAUUGAAAUAUGACAGGGUGCCUGUGUUUAUACUCAGAGAAGUCAUAUACAGAUUCCAUCUGUUCAACAUUUGGAGCAAAUUUGCAGUGAUUACUCAGGCUGAAAAUUGCUUUGGAGUUUUGUCUGCUGUUGCUUUAUUUGAAAUAAAUCACUGAUGUGGUAUCUCACUUCUGAACAUACUGACGUGCAUGUCAAAGUGAGAAGACAGCAGCAGAACUUUGGCUGUUCUGAUUUUCAAGACAGUCGGGUGUUGACACUCACAGGGUGUUUCUCAUAGGCUGUGAAGAAACCUAAGAGAUGAAGCUGUUGCUGAGGUGAGGAAUUAACUUCUUGAAGUUUCCUGCCUUCCACCAAAGACUCAUUUCACGUUGGACAAAGUCCCUCCCAUGCCAUGGGCUCUAGGCCAGAGCUGCCAAUUGUGAACAUCACUUAGCAUCGCAGAGUCACAGCUGCACUGCUAAAGUGGUUGCCCGGUUGUCUGACAGAAGUCUCAUUUAAGUCAAGGCGCAGAUGAUUCCCAGCCAUUUGGGUUGAUCGGGUGCAGGCUUACAUCCAAGCUUUGAAUCAGCAAUCUCUCUCUGAGCCUGGUACAGCCAAGACUGGAUUUCAACAACCUCAAGGAAAAUUAACGAACAUUGGAGCUUGCUCCAGUUUUGCUGAUUGGGCUCUAAAACACAGUGAUAGAGAGACUGAAUCUCAGUUUCAGUCCUGAUACAGCCGAAGUGGAAACUGCAAAGGAGACAAAUGAAAUUCAGUCAUUCAGGUGCAGUUGAAUAUACUCAGCUGCAACUUCAGGGAAAAGUCGGAGAGGAAGAAUUUAGCUGAUUGGAUUUUUGAGCCAGAAACAACUCCUAUUAAAAUGCCAGAUGUUCAACAGUAGUCACAAAUAAUAAGGGUUAAGCUCUCUAUCACCAUUAUCCAAUCCUUCAAAAUCCUUGUCUAAUGGGGGGCUUUAUAUGUGAAGGUAGGCCAUAUUCUUCCACUGUCCUGCCUAACCUGCGAGAUCUAGCGGAGUAAAGCAAGGUGACUAGCCACCCUAGCUAACAAGUUAGUAGGAUGAGAGAACGAAAGCAUAUAUUGCUCUGAGAGCCGAGAUAUCUCUGGGGGCGGCGAGCGAUGGGGAAUGAGUUGCAGGGAGUUGGUAUGCAUUACCAACCCCUGAUCCUCUGCAAAACUUGUUGACAAUGGUAGUGCAGCCAGGCAGCUUUAGAAGACGAACAGCUUGGCUUGUACAAAAACCUGUUCUCUGGGCACCCACGCCGUGGAAACCAGCAAGCAGUUGGCUUCGCAUGGAUAAAAGGUUAUUUCUAUGGAUGAAACACUCUCAACAAUUAAGGGUAAAGUGGCAAAGUUAGGCAUCAGCUGAGCCCUAGCUGACACCCGAUGACUGCAGUGUGACUUGUGAGACACUAACAGCAUGACACCAUCUGCUUAUGAUUUAUGCUGAACACACUACAUAUAGAAACAGAUGGCAAGUGUCAGAUUUGAUCAGAAUUGUUAUGCUGGUGAUUCCACAGCAUGUUAUAUAGCCCAGAGCCUUACUUUUCCACACAGUUCUAUGAAGUGGAGGGGAUUUCAUAGGAGCUCCAUGUUACUCAGGGAAUCAUUCUUGCUGAAUUUGCAUAGGACUAAGUUCUAUUGUACUGCAGCUGUGAUGGGUCUCUGUUAUCGCACCUGAUGUGUUCAAGAAAGUCAGUCAGAUUCUUAAGUCCAGUGUUCCUAAAAUACAAAUCCAAAGUGUCGUUUACCAAGCUAGCUCUCAACAUUGAACUGUAAACUUACUGAGAUUGCAUUCAAGUUUGCUCUGAAGUGAAUCAUAGACACCAUUGCCCUCCAACACUGCUAUGCUUGCUGUUUUAAGUCUCAGCAUUAGUGUUUUCCUUUAUCCUUUCAUGACUUCAUGUAAAAGUUAGUUUUACGUUUUCAUAACUGUGGAAAAUGCUGAUGAAUGCAAUUCAGACUGAAAAGAGGAGAGACCACACAGACUCCCUGGGCAGUGUAUUCAGAAACUGAAAUGCUAAAAGAACACAAACCGCGUACUGGCAAGCCUGGUUUAUGAUAUUUGACACUAAUACCUAACAUGGAUGCAUUCAAGAAGUCUUCUAGUAUAGAACAGACUACAAGACCAAUUAUCUAUGGACUCGUACUGAAAUAAUACGACGGGAAUCAGACGUCUGCCAUUCAAAUUAAAGCACACACAAUCCUACUGUAGAUAGCAUCAUUCAGACAGAGCCUGUCCUCUCCGGUUCAUUUCCAUAGAGCACACAUUUGUUAGAAGACACAAGCCAAUAAAUAUUACAACAAAAUAGCUGAAAGGAUCGCUACGCAGGAAAACAACUUAAAAUCUAAGCUAAAGAAGAACUUGAGUAUCACUUUGGUUAGAGUGCAGGUACAAAACUAGAAGCUUUAGAAAACCACUGUUAUGAGAAACUUUCAGUCAACUCUCAGAAGCCUGACAGUUUAUCUUAUCUGAUUAUCCAGAGGCAUUCUGCAAGCAGCGCUGCGUUCAAAGCUAAUUCCACUUAAAUAGCAGUGAUCUAGGGUCCUGUAAUGGGUGGGUCAUGACACUGCUGUGAGAAACCACAGCAGCGGAUGGUAACCACGUGAUGGUUUGUCACUGCUCUGCAAGCAUCUGAUCAGGAUUUAAAUGGGUAAAACUAAGGUAACAGUCUUGCUGAAAGACUGAGUGGAACAGAAGCCCCGGUGUUUACUCAACCAUUUACAAACUUGGGUUAGCUCUGCCACAACCAGUGCCAAUGAACAUGGGGAAAGUGGGCAUAAGGGUGGGACACACUUUCCUUCUGCUGCUCACGGCACGUGGAAAUAACCUUGCAGACAAAGCGUAACCACUCACACCUCAAUUUCUGAAUCUGUGAGAAAUAAAACCCCUGUGGAUGACAUCUGAAGCACUACAUACUUCUGUGCUGAUCGGUGAAAACCAGCCUUUCCCAGUGCCAAAGGACACACGGUCACAUAGCUCAGGCAUCAAGGCCUGCAUCAACAAACGUGCCAGACCCUGGAAGGACAGGUAAGAGACACUGGUAUGGAUCAUGCUGUGGGGAAAAUUCUCACCACCGCACAGCAGAAAAAGCUGAAAGGAUUCUGCAAAAUCACCUACCAGUUUGAUUGCAUUGACCCGCUGGGGCAAGAUCCAGUUCUGCACAGCUGAGACUUAGAACUCUGGCUGGACUCCACACAGACACAGCGGGAGCACGGGGCCUGGCAGGCAGGGCACUUGGUAGUGCUGACUGGCAGCUGCUAUCCCAGCAGUCACCAUAGGAACUGAUUUCCAGCUGGAGACGGAGCCAUUGGAAGCAGACACUGGCAAGGAAAAUUUCCCAUGUGCUUAAAGGGAGAAAAGCUGCGGCCUCAGGAUGGAUGCCCUCCCUUUCUGCUGCUUCUGUGCACAGUGCCUCUGCUGGUUUGCUUCUCCCUUUGCAAAGGUUGUGCUGACAGGCAUGGAAAAGAUGCACUGUGCGGUGCUCUUGCAUACACUCUCAGAGCUCUGAACAACACUCCAAAGCACCCUCCCAUUCCUUCAGCAUCAUCCAGUUCCCUCAGUUCAGCUAUGCUGGGCCUGUACACCAGCAAAUAGAAGUGGCUCAGUCCCUGGACACCUGCACAGGACAGCCAGCAUUAGAUGGUAAAAGCUUUUCCUAGCCUUCCCUACACUUGUCGGGCAUCUUGUAGUCAGGUCAGUGGAGCAGAAACUUGAUAAGAAACAGUUUCAUACUUGGCCAAGUGCUGGAGUGGAGAGGAAACGCUUUCAUUUCUUAAUUUUCCCUUAAAAUAAUGUGUACGAUCUGUUCCAGGAACACCCACCCAGUGAAAAUCCCUCCAGAGGCCGCCUGCCAAAGCCUGUGAAAAUCCCUUGUCCGCUAUUUCAGACACAGCCUGUUCAUAGGAACAUAAAUCUGCUGUCCUCACUGAAGAAGAUUAUUCGAGCUGGAUUUAACGUGCCCAGGCACAUCUUUCUUAACUUGGCUAAGACAACCACCUGCUCCUUCACGUGCAUUCGUUGCUCAGUAUAGAUCUCCAAAUAGCAUCACCCAUCCCACUGACAGCAGCUGCAGGGAUGCCCCAUUGCUGCCUCUUCCGCCUGCCCAGCACAGCCCACGCACAUCAUUGGUGCAGAGGAAGCGGCCGCUGCUCUCCACCCUCCCCUGAGUAUUUUACCUUGGGAUGCUGUCCAGCUGAAGCACUAUCUCAGCUUGCCAAACAUGGCACAGAGAACACUUAAUGUUUAGGAAAGAAAGUAAAAAACAGCAUGGCACAAUUCCCACAAAGCACAACAGAGAUGACACCUAUUGAAACUACACCUGUAGAAUGUUGUGAGCGUACAAGACAAUGGGUUUUGUUUGCUGAACUUCUGUCUGGAAGACCAUACUAAGGGCAAAAUUACUAGGUAGAGAAUUCUGAAAUUUAUAGGACCAUUUUCUCCACUAUUGCAAUUCGUAUAGCAUCAGGGCAGGGGAAAGCAGCGGGAAUAAAAGCCAUAUUUUAGCACGUUUUCUGCUGACAGUGAAGUGUUAAAAAUGAAAUAAACCCCUGCAUUUUGGGGGAUGCCAGAACAUCGGCACGCAGAGACUUGGCAUGGCACAAUACUCUUUUCACCCAUAAACAUGUAAGAGUGCCGCUGACCGCCAGCAAUUCAAAGCUCGCUGCCACUUCAACAUCCUGCUGGCACCAACUCCACCUGCUGGAAACAACCCAGCACCCGAAGUGAUUUCAAGUUUACUGACUGCAGCUUUUUAUUGGAGAACUUAGCUCUACUAAUAUCCUCAGCACGCUAUUUCUCACUUUUGCUCCAGAAUCAACCAUUUCUUGGUGCUUUACUCUCUUAAAUCUUUCUGAAUCAUCUGAUCAGAAGUCAAUCACUGCUCUGAUGCAAAGAUUUGACUGUUAAUGCUCUGUAUACAUCAUCGUUCUUCCCUUUAACCACGUACACCAGAAAAAGAAGAGCAGCAAAAAUAGAAAGUUCAUCCUAUGCUCUUCAGUUUAUAUAAGGAUUCAUUCAAACUGAAUUAGUUACCUAGUUUGAUAUAAAGAAGAUUAAAUAAUUACAAAUAAUCAUUUCUUUUUUGCAUUUCACUACAAGUAUUAAACCUCUAUUCAUAUUCUCAGUUCCCUACUAAGGGAUGAUCAGAUACCCACAUUACCAUUGCCUUACAGCAAGUACUCGGCACAUGGAGAAUUUCACAUGGUCUUUCAAGUUUUAAAUCCACUACGUAGAACACUCAGGAGUUUGAGGUGCAACAAUCUUUUGCAAGAUAUUCAGCUUCAGUUUAAAAUUCAACCCAGUGGGAAAACUACCCUGUCAACUGCUAUUGCAUUCAGCUGUUAAUUACCUUCACUGUUAACGUUUUGCAUCUUACCUCCAGUGCGAUUUCAUUUCCAAGAGAUUAUGGGCUAUUAUCAUCCCUUCAGCUGACAAGCCAAGCACACUUUAUUAGAAGUGUCACGAUGUGGAUGUUUAUUAGCUGAAUAAAUUAUCACUUAACCUUC